AUUCAGGUAACCAUCUUCAGUUUUUUCGGUUUGAUUUAAAGGAAUUUUUUAGGCAGAGAAGCUAGGGCUUUCCGUUCCCACUCUGAAGUUUGUUCUACCUCAUCAUUAGAACUGUUUCCUUCUGCUCUUCUUCUUGAAACAAGGUCACAGAUCCACAGGCCAUCAAGAUAAUUUGAUUCAUGCUAAAGUUAUUGAACGUACGAUGGAAACCUUUCAAAAAGGAUUUCUUGAGUCUAAUAACAACCUGGGUGAUCAAAAGGAAAAAAACCAUUUAGUCUCUGCUUGCAAGAUGACUUCUUUUCAUGCCUGUCCUCCCUCUACUUGAAAUGUUUGUUUUAAAUAGGGUUUGGUUUCAGGAGACGGUGGUUUUUCGGAUUCUGAGGCUUUUAUUUCCAGGCUGCGAAGCCCUGUGUACUCAAGGUGAGCAAUUUCAAUUUCUAGGGUUAUUGAAUUGAGAGUUUUCUUUAGUUUUUCAUUAUUUUGGAGUUGAGUUUGGUAUUUUGUUUUGGUUUUAUUAUAUUAAUUAUCAUAAGCUUCUUUGAGAUUACAAGAUGUUAUUGGACACAUUACUGCAAUAGAACAAAAAGUGGCUGAUUAGCAGGCUUGAAAACGAGUGUGAAAUUACAUUCCGAAUAUUAGGUAAAAAACAUUUUAACAAAUCAUCUUCAAAAGCUGUAAAUACAAUAUAAUUACGAUUGAAGUUUUGUUUUUGGUACUUCCCUAAUCCUGUGAUUGAGUGCAGGGUAGAGCUGAAACUGGAAAAGCUUAUGUACAUGACUUUCUUUAUGUUAAUGGCAGACCAGUUCUCAUAGUGGAUGCUUCUGAGCACAUCUUUCUGCUGUGCAUGAUCCUGCCCGUCCAGAAGGGAGCAGAGAAAUACUAGGAAUCUUCAAUCUACGUUGGGUCCAGCAAAGGUAAUAGGCAUACAAAAGAAUUUUUUUUACUAUGAAAAUUAUUUUAUAAGUAAUGGAUAUGGACAUUCUUUUAGACAUUCAAGCCCCGGGCUUUCAAACUCUACAAAACAUGUUUGAUUUUACUCGAAUGAGAGUCUCCAAGGAGGAGAAAGAGAAGGAUCCGAAUGGAAAGCAAGGCACAACAUCGAACAAGCAAUCUACCUUUUUGACGUUUAUUUUCAUUUACUUAAACUUAACACCACUUCAAUAGAAAACUAAACUUUAAUUAGAGAAAGAGGAAGAGGAAACAUAGGAGUUUAUCACUACAAUGAUUUAUCGGUAAAAUCCUCAAACCCAAUUCUCAAUUUUCAGUUUUUUUUAUUUUUUAUUCUUAAUUUUUUUUCUUCACAUCAAUUAAUUCCAGUAAUGUUAGGGGCUGAAUUUUUUAGGUUAGUGAUUUUUUCGCACAUAAAUUUUCUUUCUAAUCAUUUUGGGUGAAAUAAAUAGAUAUGGGUCUUCUAUUAUUAUAGUAUUAUAGUUUUAUUUCACAAUUAAAUGACAUCUUGCUGUUUUUUGGUAGGUUUUUCUGUGAGCUUAUUCGCAUUGCAUAUUUUGUUUACAAAUGUUCGGUUUAAUGUGGUGGUAAUAUGUGCUAUGAUUACCACCAUAGUCCAACUGAUGGCUUAUUAAUUUGGUAAAUUAUUUCAGAUUUAGUGUCUGCAAACCUCAGGAAGUCUAAUAUUAAAUUGUGAAAGUUGGACUGUGGCUUGGUUCUACUUCUGCAUUUCCUCUUCAUUAAAAUGUUUACUUACCUGCUUUUAAGCGUCUUUAUUUAUGUAUCUAUUUUUUAAAAUGAAUUUGAAAGAUGUUAUGGAAAUGGGAAAGAGCAGCAGUUUGAGAACAUAGUAUGGGAACUUUGGGAAGGAAUACUCGAAAGGAAGACCGACAAUGGGUUAGCGGUAACACCCUUUUUAAAUCAUAUUCUAUUUCGUAAUAUUACACUAUUGCGUCAGGAAUAGCAACAUUUAUUUGGUGUCACGUAGAAAGUUCGUUGUUGUAUCAUGUCAUGUUUUUUUAAGUUGGAGAUUUUGUAGGUAGCCAGUUCGAGGAAAUGGCCCUCAGUUUCUAAUUACCGAGCUAAAGUUCAUGCUCAAUCACCAAAGUAGAAAUGAUUGCUUCUUUGUUCAACUCUGUUGAAUCAAAAUGAAUAGGGUUAUAAUUAGGAUAGCUUCUCUCACCACUUACAUUUACUUUGCUACAUUGAUAUUUUUGUAUUCUAUUAUCUAAUUAUAAAAAAUUUACUUCUGUUGUA
Molecule: long non-coding RNA, 2205 nt
Organism: Pyrus x bretschneideri (Chinese white pear)
Lineage: Eukaryota; Viridiplantae; Streptophyta; Magnoliopsida; Rosales; Rosaceae
Exons: 5
Source: RefSeq, a predicted model, not a curated record